GACGAACGCUGGCGGCGUGCCUAAUACGUGCAAGUAGAACGCUGAAGGAGGAGCUUGCUUCUCUGGAUGAGUUGCGAACGGGUGAGUAACGCGUAGGUAACCUGCCUGGUAGCGGGGGAUAACUAUUGGAAACGAUAGCUAAUACCGCAUAAUAGUAGAUGUUGCAUGACAUUUGCUUAAAAGGUGCAAUUGCAUCACUACCAGAUGGACCUGCGUUGUAUUAGCUAGUUGGUGGGGUAACGGCUCACCAAGGCGACGAUACAUAGCCGACCUGAGAGGGUGAUCGGCCAAACUGGGACUGAGACACGGCCCAGACUCCUACGGGAGGCAGCAGGAGGGAAUCUUCGGCAAUGGACGGAAGUCUGAACGAGCAACGCCGCGUGAGUGAAGAAGGUUUUCGGAUCGUAAAGCUCUGUUGUAAGAGAAGAAAGAGUGUGAGAGUGGAAAGUUCACACUGUGACGGUAUCUUACCAGAAAGGGACGGCUAACUACGUG
Molecule: ribosomal RNA, 495 nt
Filed under: uncultured bacterium
Lineage: Bacteria
Description: partial 16S ribosomal RNA
Rfam family: Bacterial small subunit ribosomal RNA
Source: RNAcentral